RNAcentral lists this unclassified non-coding RNA (349 nucleotides) under soil metagenome. RNAcentral's name for it is "partial contains 5.8S ribosomal RNA, internal transcribed spacer 2, and large subunit ribosomal RNA". The stretch from base 1 to 120 matches the Rfam family "5.8S ribosomal RNA", at positions 35 to 154 of the family's 154-position model. The record is from RNAcentral.
GAUGAAGAACGUAGUGAAAUGCGAUAAGUAAUGUGAAUUGCAGAAUUCAGUGAAUCAUCGAAUCUUUGAACGCACAUUGCGCCCCCUGGUAUUCCGGGGGGCAUGCCUGUUCGAGCGUCAUUUCAACCCUCAAGCUCUGCUUGGUAUUGGGCGUCGCCGGGGAGUCUCCCCGGCGUGCCUCAAAGCCAUCGGCGGUGGUGCCUUUCUCUAAGCGUGGUAGAAUUUUUAUUCGCUUCUGAGUUGGGCUUCGCCUGCCGGACAAACCGGGCCCUCGCGGCUCACCUUCUCAGGUUGACCUCGGAUCAGGUAGGGAUACCCGCUGAACUUAAGCAUAUCAAUAAGCGGAGGA